CAAUCAUCAAUUUGUAUGGAACGGGAUCGUUUGCGUACGUUUGCCGCUAGGGGCGCUGUUCCAACUGCAUACAAAAUUGAGUUA
RNAcentral lists this microRNA precursor (84 nucleotides) under Bombyx mori (domestic silkworm). RNAcentral's name for it is "mir-2807 microRNA precursor family". It matches the Rfam family "mir-2807 microRNA precursor family". The record is from Rfam by way of RNAcentral. Lineage: Eukaryota; Metazoa; Arthropoda; Insecta; Lepidoptera; Bombycidae.